Chinchilla lanigera (long-tailed chinchilla) is the source of this 630-nucleotide long non-coding RNA. RefSeq lists it as uncharacterized. NCBI's taxonomy places the organism in Eukaryota, Metazoa, Chordata, Mammalia, Rodentia, Chinchillidae. The record is from RefSeq and is a predicted model, not a curated record. The transcript is spliced from 3 exons.
CUAUCAAGCUCUCGCGAGAGCCCAGCAGAUGCCAGCGUCAUGCCGUGAGCCCCCAGAAUUAUGAGCUACAUGAACCUUAUCUCUUUAGAAGCGACACCAAGAUCUGUGUUUCUUCCCAAAAAGAACGGAGAUAUGCAACAAGGAAGUGGAAACAUGCCUUCAAAUCUUCAGCAGAAAGCCCCUCAUGUUUACAAAUCAUCCUUAUGGGCCUUUCAUAGUCCUUCAUGACCAUAUUCAGUAGGGACUAUGUUUACUCAGUUAUCCCAGACAAAAUAAAAGAAGACUGAAUAGCUUCAGUGAAGAAAUAAGGAACCUUCUCCUCCUUCCGUUUCUCCAAAGGACCCAGAUACACUCUUGGACAAUCACUCCAAAACCUGCUCUACCAUUCAACGGACAAUGGCAGCUCUGCGGCUUCAAUCUGCCCUGAUUAGUGGAACCCUCGUGGAGCUGUAAUGCAGGAACAAUGCUAGCUAUGACGCCUGAAUAGCAUUUGGUAUUGUAUUUGAUAGACAGAUCAUGAAGGGGUUGAAAAAUCCUGUAAUCAGUUUAACUUGUUAAAUAGCUCAUAACUUUUAUCUCAUUCCUAUCAAAUGAGAUAAAAGCAUGGGCGUGGUCGGGAAGAAAAUGUAG